CCUACGGGUGGCUGCAGUGAGGAAUAUUGGUCAAUGGCCGGAAGGCUGAACCAGCCAAGUCGCGUGAGUGACGACUGCCCUAUGGGUUGUAAACCUCUUUUAUAAGGGAAGAAUAAAUGCUACGUGUAGCAUGAUGCCUGUACCUUAUGAAUACGCAUCGGCUACUUCGUGGCAGGGGGCCAGGGUAAUCCGGAGGUGCUGGGCGUAACCGGGUUUUAUUGGGGUAAAGGGGUCGGUAGGGGGAUUUUUAGGUUGGUGGGAAAACGUCGGGGCUUCACCUUGAUUUGCCAUUAAUACUGUAAGACUCGAGUUCAGACGAGGUAGGCGGAAUAAGUUAAGUAGCGGUGAAAUGCUUAGAUAUAACUUAGAACUCCGAUAGCGAAGGCAGCUUACCAGACUGCGACUGACGCUGAAGCACGAGAGCGUGGGUAGCGAACAGGAUUAGAUACCCGGGUAGUC
RNAcentral lists this ribosomal RNA (459 nucleotides) under uncultured bacterium. Its description in RNAcentral is "partial 16S ribosomal RNA". It matches the Rfam family "Bacterial small subunit ribosomal RNA", at positions 338 to 795 of the family's 1533-position model. The record is from RNAcentral.